RNAcentral lists this ribosomal RNA (1480 nucleotides) under uncultured Bordetella sp. RNAcentral describes it as "partial 16S-23S ribosomal RNA intergenic spacer". It matches the Rfam family "Bacterial small subunit ribosomal RNA". The record is from RNAcentral. Lineage: Bacteria; Pseudomonadati; Pseudomonadota; Betaproteobacteria; Burkholderiales; Alcaligenaceae.
GGUUCGAUCCUGGCUCAGAUUGAACGCUGGCGGGAUACUUUACACAUGCAAGUCGAACGGCAGCACGGACUUCCGGUCUGGUGGCGAGUGGCGAACAGGUGAGUAAUGUAUCGGAACGUGCCUAGUAGCGGGGGAUAACUGCGCGAAAGCGUAGCUAAUACUACCUUACGCCCACAUCGGGGAAAGCGAGACCUGGGCCUCGCACUGGCCGACGGCCGAUAUCGGAUUAGCUAGUUGGUGGGGUAACGGCUCACCAAGGCGACGAUCCGUAGCUGGUUUGAGGACGACCAGCCGCUGGGACUGAGACACGGCCCAGACUCCUGCGGGAGGCAGCAGUGGGGAAUUUUGGACAAUGGGGGAAACCUGAUCAGCCAUCCCGCGUGUGCGAUGAAGGCCUUCGGGUUGUAAAGCACUUUUGGCAGGAAAGAAACGGCACGGGAUAAUACCCCGUGCAACUGACAGUACCUGCAGAAUAAGCACCGGCUAACUACGUGCCAGCAGCCGCGGUAAUACGUAGGGUGCAAGCGUUAAUCGGAAUUACUGGGCGUAAAAGCGUGCGCGAGCGGUUCGGAAAAGAAAGAUGCUUGAAAUCCCAGAGUAACUUUGGAACUGCAUUUUUUAACUUUACCGAGCUAGAGUGUGUCAGAGGAGGUGGAAUUCCGCGUGUAGCAGUGAAAUGCGUGGUGUGCGGAGGAACACCGAUGGCGAAGGCAGCCUCCUGGGAUAACAUAACGCUCAUGCACACGAAAGCGUGGGGAGCAAACAGGAUUAGAUACCCUGAAGCUGAUCCACGCCCUAAACGAUGUCAACUAGCUGUUGGGGCCUUCAGACGCCCGGUGGCCUGUACGCGUGAAGUUGACCGCCGCAAGUACGGUCGCAAGAUCAAAGCUCAAAGGAAUUGACGGGGACCCGCACAAGCGGUGGAUGAUGUGGAUUAAUUCGAUGCAACGCAAAAACCUUACCUACCCUUGACAUGUCUGGAAUCCCGAAGAGAUUUGGGAGUGCUCGCAGAGAACCGGAACACAGGUGCUGCAUGGCUGUCGUCAGCUCGUGUGUGAGAUGUUUGGGUUAAGUCCCGCAACGAAGCGCAACCCUUGUCAUUAGUUGCUACGAAAGGGCACUCUAAUGAGACUGCCGGUGACAAACCGGAGGAAGGUGGGGAUGACGUCAAGUCCUCAUGGCCCUUAUGGGUAGGGCUUCACACGUCAUACAAUGGGUCAGGACAGAGAGGGGUCGCCAACCCGCGAGGAGCCAAUCCCAGAAACCCGAUCGUAGUCCGGAUCGCAGUCUGCAACUCGACUGCGUGAAGUCGGAAUCGCUGGUAAUCGCGGAUCAGCAUGUCGCGGUGAAUACGUUCCAGGUCUUGUACACACCGCCCGUCACACCAUGGGAGUGGGUUUUACCAGAAGUGAUUUCAGCCCUGUGUAGGAGGGCGUUACCGACGGUAGGAUUCAUGACUGGGGUGAAGUCGUAACAAUUG